This 496-nucleotide ribosomal RNA is filed under the name uncultured bacterium. RNAcentral's name for it is "partial 16S ribosomal RNA". It matches the Rfam family "Bacterial small subunit ribosomal RNA", at positions 28 to 506 of the family's 1533-position model. The record is from RNAcentral.
GAUGAACGCUGGCGGCGUGCCUAAUACAUGCAAGUCGAGCGAACAGACGAGGAGCUUGCUUCUCUGACGUUAGCGGCGGACGGGUGAGUAACACGUGGAUAACCUACCUAUAAGACUGGGAUAACUUCGGGAAACCGGAGCUAAUACCGGAUAAUAUAUUGAACCGCAUGGUUCAAUAGUGAAAGACGGUUUUGCUGUCACUUAUAGAUGGAUCCGCGCCGCAUUAGCUAGUUGGUAAGGUAACGGCUUACCAAGGCAACGAUGCGUAGCCGACCUGAGAGGGUGAUCGGCCACACUGGAACUGAGACACGGUCCAGACUCCUACGGGAGGCAGCAGUAGGGAAUCUUCCGCAAUGGGCGAAAGCCUGACGGAGCAACGCCGCGUGAGUGAUGAAGGUCUUCGGAUCGUAAAACUCUGUUAUUAGGGAAGAACAAAUGUGUAAGUAACUAUGCACGUCUUGACGGUACCUAAUCAGAAAGCCACGGCUAACUACGU